GCAGUCGCCACGGGAAUACAGAGGGUGCGAGCGUUAAUCGGAUUUACUGGGCGUAAAGCGUGCGUAGGCGGCUAAUUGAGUCGGAUGUGAAAUCCCCGAGCUUAACUUGGGAAUUGCAUUCGAUACUGGUUAGCUAGAGUGUGGGAGAGGAUGGUAGAAUUCCAGGUGUAGCGGUGAAAUGCGUAGAGAUCUGGAGGAAUACCGAUGGCGAAGGCAGCCAUCUGGCCUAACACUGACGCUGAGGUACGAAAGCAUGGGGAGCAAACAGGAUUAGAUACCCCCGUAGUCCCUGUCUCUUAUAC
This 302-nucleotide ribosomal RNA is filed under the name uncultured bacterium. RNAcentral's name for it is "partial 16S ribosomal RNA". It matches the Rfam family "Bacterial small subunit ribosomal RNA", at positions 508 to 807 of the family's 1533-position model. The record is from RNAcentral.